This 457-nucleotide ribosomal RNA is filed under the name uncultured bacterium. Its description in RNAcentral is "partial 16S ribosomal RNA". It matches the Rfam family "Bacterial small subunit ribosomal RNA", at positions 338 to 795 of the family's 1533-position model. The record is from RNAcentral.
CCUACGGGAGGCAGCAGUGGGGAAUAUUGCACAAUGGGGGCAACCCUGAUGCAGCGAAGCCGCGUGAGUGAAGACGUAUUUCGGUAUGUAAAGCUCUAUCAGCAGGGAAGAAAUAAAGUCCUUCGGACUUUGGACGGUACCUGACUAAGAAGCCCCGGCUAACUACGUGCCAGCAGCCGCGGUAAUACAUAGGGCGCAAGCGUUAUCCGGAUGUACUGGGUGUAAAGGGAGCGUAGACGGCAGCGCAAGUCUGGAGUGAAAUCCCAUGGCUUAACCAUGGAACUGCUUUGGAAACUGUGCAGCUGGAGUGCAGGAGAGGUAAGCGGAAUUCCUAGUGUAGCGGUGAAAUGCGUAGAUAUUAGGAGGAACACCAGUGGCGAAGGCGGCUUACUGGACUGUAACUGACGUUGAGGCUCGAAAGCGUGGGGAGCAAACAGGAUUAGAUACCCGAGUAGUC